GCCAGUGUUCAGUCUAUUGUUUCACAUUGGUUUCGAUUGUGACUAGAUCGAACACUCGCUU
Molecule: microRNA precursor, 61 nt
Filed under: Tribolium castaneum (red flour beetle)
Lineage: Eukaryota; Metazoa; Arthropoda; Insecta; Coleoptera; Tenebrionidae
Source: RNAcentral